CACGUAGGGUGCGAGCGUUGUCCGGAAUUACUGGGCGUAAAGAGCUCGUAGGUGGUUUGUCGCGUUGUUCGUGAAAACUCACAGCUCAACUGUGGGCGUGCGGGCGAUACGGGCAGACUUGAGUACUGCAGGGGAGACUGGAAUUCCUGGUGUAGCGGUGGAAUGCGCAGAUAUCAGGAGGAACACCGGUGGCGAAGGCGGGUCUCUGGGCAGUAACUGACGCUGAGGAGCGAAAGCGUGGGGAGCGAACAGG
This 253-nucleotide ribosomal RNA is filed under the name uncultured bacterium. Its description in RNAcentral is "partial 16S ribosomal RNA". It matches the Rfam family "Bacterial small subunit ribosomal RNA", at positions 524 to 776 of the family's 1533-position model. The record is from RNAcentral.